GAGAUUGGUCUCGAGCCCUUCUGCUGGAUCUUGUUUAAUCUGCAGGAGGCCUCUGCAGCUCUGAGGAACUUCAGUGCAUCACUUCAUCAGGCUGGAAUCCCGAAACGUUGGUAUUUCUACCGCUUCCCGAAGAGCUCACAUCCUCUGGUUUUGCGCACGAGAAACCUGCAGAUGAUUUCCACCUUAGGCUAGAGUCGGCUGCAGUCGAGCUGUAUUCCCUUUUCAAGCUUUCACCAGCCAAGAGUGGAACCAAUCCAUUCAGCACACAUUUCUGGUAACAUAAUUAGCUAACUGAGCUCCUUUGUCUCCUUAACUCUGAAAUGUUACACUUCCCUUCCCAACCACUUAAAUGGAUGCAAAAUUAAGUUGUCUUUGGGGUUGUUCUCGUGUCGGCACGCUGUUUGCUCAGAAAGCUUAUCUGCAGCGCCAGGACAAUCUGCCACUUAAAAUGCAACAGCUGGGGAUAUCUUAUUUCUCUCAUGCUUGCUCUGAAAGCAGAGGUGUUCUUAAUUAUUUUUUAAAAGGCUCUAAAGCAAUUAAAAGAGUGACAGGAGAUGUGGUAUAUUACCAGUGCCAAAUAUGAUUCAGACAAACUGUCACUAGAAAACGUCUUUGGUGACAAUUCGAAGGCCUCCAAAGUCUAUUAUUAAAGCCAGUUGGUUUUUUGUUUUCUUUUUUUUUUUUUUAUCCCCCCCCACUGACAGCUACGGUGCUAAACAUCAUCUCGGAUCUAGCAAACUACAGGUUACUGCGGAGGGCUCCAUCGUGCUUUAUCCUCUUCUCUGGCACUGGGCACUCGUGGGAUAUCGAGGCAGCAGCUGGCGUCAGCCCGCGCGAAGCAGCACGGGCGCCGGGCAGGCGAUUUCCUCGGGCAUGGCUGGGCGGAAGGAGCGCGUGAAUUUCUCCUGGUGGUCAUCCCAGCCGUCCCCAGCUUGCAGAGCCAUCCGCCAGGGAGCCCAUCCGGCGUCGCGCUGCUCAGCUUCGGCAUCAGCUCGGCUCCGGCCAGGGAAGCAGACGGCCAAACGGACAACCUCCGGCCCCGAGCCAUUUGAAGCACAUUGCACAAAGAAACUAGAGAGGCGACUUGAAGGAAAAGUUGGCCACGUGCAUUUGAAAACCAGCUUGUGAAAGGGCCUAGCAACACAGCCAGAGCGGCUCUUGACAGCGGCUGGAUUAGCAAAGGGUCUCUAUCACUGUUACAGGUUUUGAACACGCCGCACAUCAAAGGAAGGCAAGAAAUGAUAAGAGCCCCCCCUUAGAGCCAGCCUGCUCUCCGCUACCAAAACCAGGCUGCAGGCAGGAGUGAUGCACCCCUCUUUUUCCAUUUAACGUGUCACCAUUUACGCUGGUUUUUCCAUUUGUAAUGUACUGUAACCGUUCGCGGUGCUCAGUGUGAGAACACGUUAUGACUAUUAAUAGCCACCAAAUACAAUAAAUCCCUAUUACCUGCCGUUCCGGGGAGACA
Molecule: long non-coding RNA, 1465 nt
Filed under: Struthio camelus australis
Lineage: Eukaryota; Metazoa; Chordata; Aves; Struthioniformes; Struthionidae
Description: lncRNA (ENSSCUG00000016606.1)
Source: RNAcentral